RNAcentral lists this small RNA (558 nucleotides) under Pongo abelii (Sumatran orangutan). RNAcentral describes it as "processed transcript". The record is from RNAcentral. Lineage: Eukaryota; Metazoa; Chordata; Mammalia; Primates; Hominidae.
GAUUUGAUGAGAGUGUACGUUGCAAUGGUGAGAUGGAAGUUGCAAAGGCAAGAAGUCAUUUGGGACCUUUCAGAAGUGUAGUAUUCUGAAACACCAAGCAAAUUCAGACCUUCAUGCUGAGGUGAAUUUGUAAAGGGUCAUUGGGCAUACCCUUUGGGAGAACUGAUACGGCCUUCAGACAUUUGACCAAAACAAAUAAAAUAAACACAGAAAGAUAUACCAAGAAUGACUUAAAGGGAGGAAGCAAAGGAGUCCAAUAAUGUAUUACAUUUCAACACAAAGGAGAAGGAUGGGCCUCCUCUCACUGGUGUGAAACAGGGUUAUUAGAGAUGAUACGCAUACCCUAAGUAUGUUCCCUGGACCAGCAACAUCAGCAUUACUCAGAAGCUUGUUAGACCCUACCUCAGAUCUACUGGAUCAGAAUUUGCCUUCCAACAAGACCCACAGUGAUCCUGAAUUAAUUUACUUUGAGUAUUGACCACCAGAUUGUACCAUUGAAAGGUGCAUUUUCUUCUUUGCUGGGCCUCUCUACAUUUAGUUCUGUAUUAGAUCAAGAUU